This 5968-nucleotide long non-coding RNA is filed under the name Sus scrofa (pig). RNAcentral describes it as "lncRNA (ENSSSCG00000057127.1)". Lineage: Eukaryota; Metazoa; Chordata; Mammalia; Artiodactyla; Suidae. The record is from RNAcentral.
AUAUGGAGGUUCCCAGGCUAGGGGCCUAAUCCGAUCUGUAGCCGCCAGCCUACACCACAGCCAACAGCAACGCUGGAUCCUUAACCCACUGAGCGAGGCCAGAGAUCAAACCCACAACCUCAUAGUUCCUGGUCCGAUUCGUUAACCACUGAGCCACGACGGGAACUCCUCACAUGUUAUUUCUAAGCACUCCUUAUAAUGUCUGGGGAAGGAAGACAAAUUGUUUUUUUAACGAAACCUUUUCAAUUCUUAGUGGAUUUGAUUUUUAAGGUUUCACACUCCUUUUCCCAAUAAGUCUGAAGCAGUGAUGUUGUGGACAUGAGUGGUGCUUAAUCGAAUGAGUUUUGCUGGCGCUUUCAAAGACAUGGUGAUGAUGUAGCAGUGGGCUGACUGAGCUGAACCGAAUACACUACAUUUAUUCCCUUAUUAAUUAUUCAUACGUGGACGUCUUCCAGAAAUAAUAUAGAGGCGUAUACAAUAAAGAUUACAUUUGUAGUAGGACUGCAAAACCACAGGUCAAAGAGCCAUGUAACGACGGGAGGGGAGUUAAUUGUACAAGAAAAUCAGAGUUGAAGGUCUUUAUUUCAGAGAAGCCCAAACUUUACCUCUGAGGUUCCUGACAGCCAAGGUGAGAAAAGAAUAAUGAGUCACAUGGCUCUUAGUAUCUUGUAAAAUAAGCUUUCGAUGCCUGGAGGUAAUGCUAUGCCUUGAUCCCACCUUUUCUUUGAAGAACAAAAUAUCUGAUGUUUAUGCCAAGUGACAUUUUCCUCAUCUUUCAGGAGAGCUUUUACAACGGCUGCAGGGGUUUUGUUUCAUAUAACUAUCAUUUGAUUGACCUUCAAAUAAAGCUGAAGGCACAUUCAUUUGUAAUUUUGAAGCCAUUUCUAUUUCAGUAAAAUGAAGUAGUUCAUAGAUUUUUGGUUUUCUUUUGGGGUUUCGAGAGUCUACCUGGGUACAGUGAUAGAGCUUAGAGAGGGGAUGAAAGUCUUGCCAUGUGGCUCUGUAUUAUCUGUCUCCAAGAUGAGUAGUCUCCUGCAGGGUUUUGACAGGGUCUGGAGAGUUUAUUAUCUGAGAACCAAACACAGAAAAGUUAGCCUUUUGUAGAAAAGUAACCAUAUGCUAGAGCCAUGGGGCAGGUUGUUGGCAGAGUCAACAUGGUGCUGUGCAGUUAAAAAGUUGCCUUGUAUUCUGACGCUAUGGCGCUCCAUUCUGCAGGACAGGGAAGUGGGCUACCGACUAUUCCAAACAGGGACAGGUUUUCUUUUUUUAAUUUUUUGAUUAAAGUAUAGCUGAUUUACAGUGUUACGCCAAUUUCUGCUGUAUAGCCUAGGGACCCAGUCAUAUAUAUAUACACACUUCCUUCUUAUAUUACCUCCCAUCAAGUUCUAUCCCAAGAGACCAGAUAUAGUUCCUUGUGCUGUACUAUAGGACCUCAUUGCUCAUCCAUUCUAAACAUAAUAGUUUGCAUCUGCCAACCCCAACCUCCGCGUCCAUCCCUCUCUCUUCCCCUCCCCCUUGGCAACCACAAGUCUGCUCUCUGCCUCUAUGAGUCUCUUUCUGUUUUGUAGAUAGGUUCGUCUGUGCUCUAUUUUAGAUUCCACAUAAGUGGUAUCAUAUGGUAUUUGUCUUUCUCUUUCUGACUUCCUUCACUUUGUGCAAAUGGCAUUAUUUCAUUCUUUUUUUUUUUUUUUUUUUUUGUCUUUUUGCCAUUUCUUGGGCCGCUCCCGCAGCAUAUGGAGAUUCCCAGGCUAAGGGUCUAAUCGGAGCUGUAGCUGCCAGCCUACACCAGAGCCACAGCAACGUGGGAUCCGAGCUGCGUCUGCAACCUACACCACAGCUCGCGGCAAUGCCAGAUCCUUACUUAACCCACUGAGCAAGGGCAGGGACCGAACCCGCAACCUCAUGCUUCCUAGUCGGAUUCGUUAACCACUGUGUCACGACGGGAACUCCCUAUUUCAUUCUUUUGAGAGUAUGGCUGAGUAGUAUUCCAUUGUAAGUAUGUACCACCUCUUCUUAAUCCAUUUCUGUGUCUAUGGACAUUUAGGUUGUUUCCAUGUCUUGGUUAUUGUGAAUAGUGCUGCUGUGAACAUUGGGGUGCAUUUGUCUUUUUGAAUUGUAGUUAUGUCCAGAUAUAUGUCCAGGAGUAGGAUUGCUGCAUCUUAUGGUAGUUCUAUAUUUAGUUUUCUGAGGAAUUUCCAUAUUGUUUACCAUAGUGGUUUUACCAAUUUACAUCUCCACCAAGAGGGUAGGAGGGUUUCAAACAGGGAUAGGUUUUGACAUUUAAAGUGAAGAGAACUAUAAAUGGGGACUACAGUCAAGAUUUUGUAAUAACCUACAAGAGAAAAAAAUCUGAAAAAUGAUAUAUAUAUAUAAUAUCCGUUUUAUAUAUAUAACUGUAUAUAUAUAAAUGAAUCAUUUGCUAUAUACCUGAAACUAAUACAACAUUGUAAAUCAACUAUAUUUCAAUAAAAAUAAAAUAAAAUAAAUAAAAUGAGGGCAACUAUAAAGGCAGAUAAACCCUCAUGAGCUGUAGUAUUCCCACUUAGGGAGGUAGCCUUGAGUAGAAAAGGUAAUUCUUGAAGCCCACAGAGAGAACUAUGAUGCAGGGUUUCCCAAACUCACUCAACCAAGAAACUCAAUUUUCCUUAGAGUAUAAUGAGAGAACCUCAAUGGGAAAUUAUGGAAUAUGAUGUGUGCUCAAAAAUGUGAUGCCACAGAUGAAUUAAUCACUGUAAGAAAUGAUCAAGCUGGAUUCAUAUGUUUAAUAUACAAUAAACAUUGACUAAUGCCAUAAAUAUAUGUUAAAAUAAUAAGCCAUGAUGCAUAACAUGGACCAGCAGGCUUCAGAGAAAUGACAUGCCGUUUGAUGCUGAUUCGCAAUUGUCAGGGCCAAGGUUUGAGGUUCGAAACCUCUUUGCUUCUCCAGCGUGCUUUUGGGAGGUAAGGUAUGAACACAAAGCACUGAGCCAAAUAGGGAUCAUAUCGCUCCUUCCCCCAAGGUCCUGCUAGAUUGUUCUAUGGGUUGUCGUUUAGACUCAGAGCCCAAAUGGAGCAGCCUUCUCUUCUGCAUCAUGGCGAACUGAACCUGUCAGCCCAGGCCCAGGGAGAGAGGCUGGUGGAGCAUCCUGUUCCUCUUCUCCACACACACUCUACCUGCGAAGCCUACACAUGCUGACUCAGGGGGCUGACUGUUAAGUUUUCAAGAAUUUUGUAAGCCUGUUGUGAAACAUCACCAUUCUUUUAAGAGAUCAAAAUGUAUAACUUUAAAAUUCAGGACAUUAUAUUUUCAAAGGUGACAGUCACAGUUUAUUCUUUCCCGUUAUGUAUUAAAUUUCAUUAUUAUCUGUGCUUUUGCGGUGAUGAUGGAAACACUCCCUAAUCAGGGAUGUCAAGGGGGCAUAGGUUGAAAUUGGCCCUGGUGGGAGUAUUUACACCAUGCACAUUGGCUAAUGCUGCAGACUCAUUUUUCUUUCUUUUCUUUUUUUCUUUUUUGUUUAAUAUACAGCACAGGGAAGUUCCCAGGCCAGGGGUUGAAUCAGAGCUGCAGCUCCCAGCUUACUGCCACAGCCGCACAGGAUCGGAGCUGCAUCUGUGACCUACACCACAGCUCAGGGCAAUGCUGGAUCCCUGACCACCUGAUUGAGGCCAGGAAAGGGAUCGAACCUGCAUCCUCAUGGAUACUAGUUGGAUUCCUUUCCACUGCCCCACAAUGGGAACUCCUCAUUUUUAUUUCUUGAAGAGCCAGUUAAAAAUUUACCAGCACUGCUGUGCCUACCCCUAGCCAGAACACUUCUAUCAGCUCGAUUUGGUUAAGAGAAAACCUUAAGUAACCCUGAACUGGUUAGUCAGCCAAGCAGAGGGCCCAGCAAUUCCACUCAGAGAUUUUGCUCUAAUUGUCUCUUUACAUGAUAAGGUAACGUUUCUACACAUGGGACACCUGUGUCAUGAGUGAAUCAGAGAGUAGACGAAUGGGAAUUGACUAAUGGAGACACAAAAAUAAUUAAUGAAAAUACUGAGGCCUCUUCUGUGCCACACCUGAGCUCAGAGCUCCUUGCUCCUAAGGAGGUCAUAGCUUUGGGGCAAACGUGGCAAGUCCUCAGGGCAUUUCACUGGUGCCUGGCAAGCAGUGGGGCAGGGUAAAUACACUGUCCCCUCAAGUACUUAGUGGAGGCAUUUAGCUCACAUUCAACAUCCAGGAAGUCUUCCUGGAAUAAGUGACAUUUAAGCUGAGAUCUGGAAGAUAAGCAAGCCUUAGCUGGGCCAAGCUCUGCAAGCCAUGGGAGUGGCAUCUGCAGAGGUCUGAUGGAGAAAGAGCACUGAGAAGCUGGGGCGCUACUGGAGGGUCAGUGCGGAUGGAGUGCAGAAGCCAGCAGAGGGGGCAGGAGUCGGGUCGCACCAGGACUGUGGCAAGCUUUGCCAGGCAAGCCUCAGACAUGCCAUCUGAUCCCAAAGGCAAUGGGGAAACAGGGUUUUCAAUGGGGCCAUGAGAGUCAGCUUCACUGUUUAUAACUCAUCUGAUGGCUAGUUGAAGAGGGACUAGAAGGGCCCACGGCUACCAAUAGAGAAACUCUGGGAACUUGGACAUCUAGGCAGGGUGACUGUUUGUAAGAUAAAAAGUCAAGUUCUUCGAUUUCCUUACCAGGGAGGGUGGCCAUGACCCUGCGGAGAGCAACGUUGGUGAAAUGGUUGGGAGUCCUGAUAGCAGUGGCUUGGAGAUGGACGAGGAGGCGAGGAAGCGUUGACAGCAGUUUUUCUUUUGUUCUCUGGCCAUGGACAAUGUUUAGAAGGAUUUUGGUGGAGAGAAGUGGGAGGAGAGUGGAGGGUACCUGGGGUUGGAGAAGGGCGAGGUGGUGACUUCACCACUGGAUGGAAGCACAUCUUACGACAGUCCUCGUUUUCCUGGAUGUUCAGACAUCAGGCUAAGACAAGUACACGGCUUGUGGCAGACAAACCACAGUAUCCCCCAGCCACCGCGACCUGGUUCUGGAAGGUCCUCUCCUUCCUCUAGCCUCCUUUGACAAGCUGUUGAGUUCCCCAGCUCUCCAUUUCAUUCAUCCUUGCCUCUGAAGACAGGGGCCUGUCCUGCUCAUCAGCAUAUCUUCAGAGCAGACACCGACUCUUUGUGGAAUGAAGGAUUGAGUGAUUAAUCAAAACACAAUUAGAUAACAAUGACUUUUAAAGUUCCUAGAGGGUCCUUUACAGAGUAAGACGUGUUGGUUGAUGCAAAUGAAUUUAAUCUGAGCACGAAUUUAAUUUGAGGAGAAUGGCUCCUUGGAGAUGCAUGUAAGAUUUCUUCUCAUCCACUCUUGCCCACUCAGUCUAGUCUCUGCUUUUCUUCAAGCUAGGUAUUGAACUAGGAAGUGGACCUUUCGAUCCACCCCUUUCCUCAAGCCCCUCUUUCAAAAUGGGGGAGUUCAGGGAGUUCCCGUUGUGGCUCAGUGAGUUAAGAACCUGACUUGUGGAGUUCCCAUUGUGGUGCAGUGGAAAUGAAUCCGACUAGGAACCAUGAGGUUGCGAGGUCCAUCCAAGAAUAUUGGGCCCCGAAACUAACUUGGGGCUCAGCAGAAACGAAUCUGACUAGUAUGCAUAAGGAUGCAGGUUCGAUCUCUGCCCUCACUCAGUGGGUUAAGGAUCCAGGGUUGUCGUGAGCUGUGGUGUAGGUUGCAGCCGCUGCUCAGAUCUGGUGUUGCUGUGGCUGUGGUGUAGGCCAGCAGCUAUAGCGGGUGGGGCCCUAAAAAGACAAAAACAAAAACAAAAACCAAACAAAAAAGGAACCUGACUAGUAUCCAUGAGGAUGAGGGUUUGAUCCCUGGCCUCACUUAGUGGGAUAAGGCCUUGCUGUGAGCUGUAGUGUAGGUCAUAGCUGAGGCUCAGAUCUGGCGUUGCUGUGGCUGUGGUGCAGGCCGACAGCUAUAGCUCUUAUUUGACCCCUGGCCUGCGAACUUCCAUGUGUUGCAUGUGCAGCCCU